CUUUUUAUUUAUUUUCAACAGACAUUUAAUCAUCCUUCAUACCUGUAUGGGUCAAAACCGGACUCGUGAUAAUUAACGAGAUUAGUCAUCCUUAAGCAUAUUCGGGUUAACAUAUGGCACAACCAUCCAUUAAUAAUAAGCAUUCGGAGACUACUCAGCUUAAUCAAUAAGGUCACGGCCUACUCACUAUUGACGGGCAUCCCCUCGACAUGACCACGGCUGCCCAACGCCAGCUGGUAAAAUUCAUAGCUAUAAAUACUAAGAGAAAGAACCCUAAAAGGGGGCUUCUUCUUCUUCAUUACGUUUCCUUAGAAAAGAGAGAGUAUCAUUGGAAGGCUCUGAACCUCUCCAUGGAGAGGCAGACCAAAUCGAUAUUAUCAAUAAAAGAUCUCUGCCCUCCUCUUCUUAACAAAUAACAUUUCCCUCUUGCAUUUUCCAUUUGGUCUUUUGGUUAUUACGUUCUGCCAUGAUUGACCCUCAACUUAAUUUUAUUGUUAUGCUUGCAAAGUAUAUGAUAACUUUGAGCUAAACAAUACCGUUCAAAGUCGACCUUAUUCUUAGAUAAUUGUAAUCUUUUACACAAAUCUCUCAUUGUUUGAGUUUUCUUCAUUUCUUUUAAGGAAUAUAAUUUUCAUCUCAACAUACAUU
RNAcentral lists this long non-coding RNA (648 nucleotides) under Nicotiana benthamiana. RNAcentral's name for it is "long non-coding RNA (NBEN_LNC022884)". Lineage: Eukaryota; Viridiplantae; Streptophyta; Magnoliopsida; Solanales; Solanaceae. The record is from RNAcentral.